Molecule: long non-coding RNA, 764 nt
Organism: Carassius auratus (goldfish)
Lineage: Eukaryota; Metazoa; Chordata; Actinopteri; Cypriniformes; Cyprinidae
Exons: 3
Source: RefSeq, a predicted model, not a curated record
CUAGUGGCCAUGGCCACAAUGGAAAUAAUCACUGCCACUCCAAUCGUAAUUGCGAUCUAUCAUAAAUAAUAAUAGUUUCUUAGAUUUUGAUCAAAAUGUCCACAAUCGAUCAUGACAAAACGAUUACGUUCGGACUGCGAAACUAUCGCGACAGUUUAAUCACUUGUCGCUUACAGGCAAAUGCGCUAUCGCGAGAGUUUCCGUAGCGCGCAUUUCUUUCCCGCAUUUGUAAAAAGUCGAGGACUGACAGAGACGAGGAGUGAAGCUUCGCUUUUGUGCCUGGUUCAACUCGUGUUUGAGCAUACAAACACAUCUUUUCAGAGCGAGCAGCAGUCGGAGGGGAAACACUUUAGCCCAGGGAACCUCUAGUUUCUGGAUCAAAACACCGCAGAGGAACGAGACCUGCGGCAGAGCAAGACCAUCCAGCGGCUGAAAGGUUGGAGUGAAGAACAGGACGCCCCCGUGAUCUUUACUGCCCAGGAAACUGUCAGUGAACGUCACAUUUCCAAGGUGCUCGAUGAACUUCCCUUUGGCAAGACACUAUGGAUGAACAGGGUAGUAAUUUCAAAACUAACAGAUAUCACCAAACAUUUUCAGUUGAUAACUGAUUACACAUUAAGAACCGCAAACAUGUUUUGGUAUGGUAUGUUUAAAUAUGCAAAUUAUGCAUUAAUUAAUAAAAUAUGCACUAAUUUGCAUGCAUUUCUAGAAACAGAUUUUUAUUAUCAAAACUUUUGUUUAGGACAAAUUCAUGAAACUUUAAC